UUGAACGCUGGCGGAAUGCUUUACACAUGCAAGUCGAGCGGCAGCGCGGGGGCAAUCCUGGCGGCGAGCGGCGAACGGGUGAGUAAUGUAUCGGAACGUACCCUGUCGUGGGGGAUAACACAGCGAAAGCUGUGCUAAUACCGCAUACGACCUGCGGGGGAAAGCGGGGGAUCGCAAGACCUCGCGCGAUAGGAGCGGCCGAUAUCGGAUUAGCUUGUUGGUGAGGUAAAGGCUCACCAAGGCGACGAUCCGUAGCUGGUCUGAGAGGACGACCAGCCACACUGGAACUGAGACACGGUCCAGACUCCUACGGGAGGCAGCAGUGGGGAAUUUUGGACAAUGGGGGCAACCCUGAUCCAGCCAUUCCGCGUGAGUGAAGAAGGCCUUCGGGUUGUAAAGCUCUUUCAGUAGGAACGAAACGGUGGCUACUAAUACUAGCUACUAAUGACGGUACCUGAAGAAGAAGCACCGGCUAACUACGU
RNAcentral lists this ribosomal RNA (482 nucleotides) under uncultured bacterium. RNAcentral describes it as "bacterial SSU rRNA". It matches the Rfam family "Bacterial small subunit ribosomal RNA", at positions 30 to 506 of the family's 1533-position model. The record is from RNAcentral.